This 69-nucleotide transfer RNA is filed under the name Psephenidae sp. BMNH 842687. RNAcentral describes it as "tRNA-Val". The record is from RNAcentral. Lineage: Eukaryota; Metazoa; Arthropoda; Insecta; Coleoptera; Psephenidae.
CAAAUUAGAGCUUGUUAUUAAGUAUUUUAUUUACAUUAAAAUGAAGUUGUGAAAAUCAAUAUAAUUUGA